CGUGCCCAGGCACGGUGCGGAAGCCGAGGAUCACCGUCCACAACGCCUUGCCCCCUCCGAGCCCUAGACGCGCCCUAUAAGAGCCAAGCUGCCGCCGCCCAGCUCUCCCAGGCCGCCGCCGCUCCCUGCUCCAUCCCCGGCCACCUUGCUCGCCCGCCCGUCCCCGCGUCCGAGUCACCAUAGCAACUCCAGCCUCGGCAAGCUCUGCUCCAAGCCAUGGACGCCUCCGAGCCCCUACCUCGACGACAUCGAGAGGUGCUGUGAACCUGAGCGCCGAGCACCACCCCAUCUACAGCCUCGCCGAGCACGACGUCGAGCCCCUACGCAUCCGCGCCCUCGACUUCGCCGUGCCCAAGACGCCGUGCGCCCUCGCCCUCGACCCCGGGAACUCGCCACGACGCCGAGCAGGAGCUUCGCCGAGCCCCUUGCUGACCCCGACGCCGAGCACCUUGAAGCCCCGACGCGGCGACGCCGGAGCCGCGACGCCGACUUCGGCGAGUCCUACUCCGUCAAGCUCUGCAUCGCCCAUGUCCCGAACCUCGCCAGGAGCCGCGGACCCCUUCUUCAUCGAGCAGCAGCAGGGCAGCGACCCCGACCUCGCCUCGACCACGCGCGUCGCGCAGCCACCUAGCACCGAGCACCACCCCGACGUCGCCCGAGCCCUUGUCCACGUGCUCGCCGCGGUCACCACCCCGGCAGCAGCGUGGUGACCGCGACGUCGUCACCCUGGCCGUGCGACGCUGGACGCGGUGACCACGGUCACCCUGCUACCUCGUCCUCGCGCCGUUCAUCACCGAAUCACCACGAUCGUGACCCGAAGCCCGUCAACUGCAAGGUCGAACCUUUUGAA
This 850-nucleotide long non-coding RNA is filed under the name Sorghum bicolor (sorghum). RNAcentral's name for it is "long non-coding RNA (SBIC_LNC015559)". Lineage: Eukaryota; Viridiplantae; Streptophyta; Magnoliopsida; Poales; Poaceae. The record is from RNAcentral.